RNAcentral lists this long non-coding RNA (641 nucleotides) under Arabidopsis thaliana (thale cress). Its description in RNAcentral is "long non-coding RNA (ATHA_LNC000296)". The record is from RNAcentral. Lineage: Eukaryota; Viridiplantae; Streptophyta; Magnoliopsida; Brassicales; Brassicaceae.
UAUAUGCUGGCCAGUGGCGUCCGAUGUUCUGCCCAUUUAUCCACAUUUGACCUUUCCCCAUUGUGUUCAUGUCUAAAGCCAAUGGUUCAUUGCCUGUUGGUGAGUCAAAAGUAGACUGCAAAAAGAGAUGGUGAAAAUUCUGCCCUGUGGAUUUCGGUUUUCAUUAUAUUGAUCUAACUUUGUUGGUGGUCAUGAUUCAUUGAUUCCUCUGUUUCUCUUACCUUGUACCAGGUCAAGGGCUGCUUUUUAGCCACUAAUGAUCCUUCUUUCCAUUCUACCGUUGAACUCCCGGCUAAGGUAUGAACGCUCAGAGCUUCACCCUUAGUACCAAUCUGCUUGAAACACAAAUGAACAAAUGUUUAUUUCAUUGUUAAUGAUUGUUGGUAAGCAAACUCGUUUCUCUUGAAUUUCAGGAGGACCUUGUAAGACCAUUUCCAUUUAGUCAUGUCCCAUGUUCCGGAGUUAACUCCAUUCAGUGUCACUGGGCCAAGAACUCCAGUAUUCCAAGUCUCAUAAUGCACGCCAACGUUCUGUGAGCAAUGAAGGACCAGGAAGCUUAGAACGUAAUCAGUGUAUGAGAAAAAAGCGCAGAGAUAAACUGAGGAGAACUAACCGGCAGACCCGCUGCAGUACUCAAUAGA